GCUGAGAGCGAGCCGCCCACCCCACACUCCGUCGUGCCCGGGCUGCCCUUGCUCCCUGCCGGGCACCAGGACCAGGCUGGGGGGAGGGAGGCGCCUUCCCUACCUGUACGGGAUCCAGUCCGCCUGGUGCUUUGAAGUCAUCGCGCCCCGGCGGAGGCGGCUGCCCCAGGGGCAGCACGAGCGCUCGGAGCCGGAGGAGAGGACGCCGCGGCUGGUCCCCUGAGAUCUCACCGAAAAGGUAGCCAGUGCAAACCAGUCGCUAGGACUCAAAGCUUGUCACUUAUUUUUCCUACGGAUCACAAGUCCUUUCACAGCCACUUCUUUGUGAGCCUGGGAAUCUAGGUGCCCCUUGACUCUUGACAAGUUACACAGGCAUCAAGGUAGCAGUGUAUCUGGAGGUGGACUUGGAAGAUGGAAAAGAAUCCUUAUGGAUCAUGCAGGGAGGAGGUUCCCUGCAGACAGACAUUGAGGAAGAAAGCACAAAGAUAAGAGCAACAAGGAGUCAAGGCUGGCAGCAUUGGUCAGGAGGAAAGGAUAAAAUGAUAAAGAGACAAGAGGAGCAGAGUUAUGAAGAGCCAGCUUGUUAACGACCGUUCCCCCAACCCCAAAAAAAGUCUUCAAGCAGUCUCUGUGCAUUAUGGUAUGAUCAUGCUGAUCAUAAAUCCUUUGCAGUUGGGAGGCAUGGUCACCAUCUCAGAAAAGAUGAUGUAAAAUUAGAGGUGGUUCAUUCAGAGAAGGCAAUAAGAAUCAUUAAGGGCCUGGAAAAGCUCUCAUAUGAAGAGAGAAUGAAAAGAUUAGGAUUGUUUAUCUUAAAAAAGAAGAUGAAUAAGAGGGAACAUGAUCAAAAGUGUGUGUGUAUAUAUAUAUUUUAAAAAAGAAAACAGAAGCUUCUACCUUGUAAUAUUAUAUAAACUGGUAUAGAGAUGGUAGAAGCUUCUGUUCUGUUCCAUUCUCUUUUUUUAGAAAUACAAGAACAAGGAGACAUUCAAUGAAAUUAAAAGAUGGCAAAUGGAAAACUGAUAAAGUAAUACUUUUUCACACAAGACAUAACUGGACUGUGGAACUUAGUGCCAUGGAAUGCUGUUGAGGCCAAGAAUUUAGCAAAUUCAAAAUGGCAGUGGAUGUUUAUACAGAUAACAAUAGCGAGGAUUAUCAUAAUGAAUUGUGACAGAUUUUUGAAGGAAUAUUAAAUCUGAUGAUUCAGGGCUUUAAUUAAUCUCUAUUAGAGAUCAGGACCUAAUGGGGGGACAAAUUAUCCCACAUCUGUCUCCUGCAGGGUUUUUACACCUUCCUCCGAAGCUCCUGGUGCUGAACACUGUCGGAGUCAGAACACUCUCAGGUCCAAUCCUGUAUGGCAGUUCCUAUGAGUAACAAACCACACUUUCAUCACCGCUAGAAAAAUCUUAAUUUAAUUGAAAAGAAUAGGCUGAAGAAAUAUCUGUGGGUUUGUGUGGUAGUAAAUGGUUUGGGUUGGUUUUUUUAACUGUGCCCAUUGCAGAAUAUAGCAAAAAACACCACGGAUCAAGAAGUUCUUGAGUUCUUCAGAGAAUGUUGUCAGGAUUUGUGAUAUCAAUAGAACAUGUACUGUCAAAAAGCCCCAAGUACAAAUGUCUGCUAGAUGAAUUCAUACGCAAACAUCAAAAAGGACCCGCUGAAUAUUUGAGCUGUUUGAAUUGGUGAAAGCGUUUACCAUAGUGUAAUAGCGUGAGAGAGUGUUUAUGUUUAAAAAUAAAAAGUGUAAAAGGUAAUCAGAUUUUCAAGGUGAAAAACAGGGACAUUUGCCUUGGGAGAGGGGGAGUUGUAGGGUAUGGUUUCAGUGUGGGGUCAGAAAGAUGUGCAUAAAGUAAAUAGAAGGGAAGGAAAAUAAUUCUCAUUCCUUUCUCUUGCAUUUUCUGUGCUUUAGGGGUUUUUUUUCUUUUACCUUUUUUUUCCCUUUGCUCCCCUCUCCUCCUCUUUCUUCCCUAGCUGUCACCCACUUAGCUUCUCCUCCCACUCUUUGUGCCACACUUUGCUGUCUUUGGCUUCCAACCUUUCUGUUCUUUCCCACCCUCAGUAUCCUACCACAAUCUGGUACUCACCUCAGACAGGUGAGGUGAGCAGAAGUGUGGAUCCCAGUCUUCAUUCUGGGUCAAUAGUUGUCUGCAAUGGAGGCAGCGCAGCUGAGCUAUCUGUGCACUUAGAGUUGUGUCUAGACUCAGACUUCACAAGGAUCUGACUGAGGGUGAAAAGGGCAGUCCUCACUCGGAAGUUCAUGGAGGGUCAAGGUGGUACCUUUAUUGUACAAGAGACCUCAGGAUGGCCCUGGAAGUGCAUAAGUGCUCAUUUAACCUGCUGCCAAUUUUUAGCAGCUCAGCCUGGACUUGGAUCUUUGAAGUGGUCAGUUUCCUGACAGUUACUAUACAAAACAGGACAAAGCACUUGUACAUAACUUCUAUGUAAUAAGGCAGGAAUAUCUGUAAGCCAACAUGAUAGCUGGCUGCUAAAGCUAACUGUAAAGAGAACUGCAUCCAUCAAAAGCUAUUUAGUUUUCAUGCUUAAUUAGUUUUAGUCACCAAGCUGAUAGGCAAGACUUACUUCCAUUAGAUGAAGAAGAGAAUUUUUAAAAGAUUAAGUGAUGUAUAUACACAACACUGUAUUAUCAUAAUGCUGUUGGAAACCAGUGUUGUAGUUAAGAUUGCAAACUCAUGUGCAUUGCAAAACUUGUUCACUGAGAACUGUCUCUUUACAUAUAGAUUUGUUACUUGAGCAAUUAUUCCGAGUUUGUCCUCCAUGUGAGGUAGCUGUCCUGCAAAUACAUUUAGUGAUUGAGAUGAUGAAUAAUACAACACAGCUUUACCUAACAGUUGAAAACAUCUGAAUUCGAUGCAAAAACCCUUCUGGCAAUCAAAGUAAGGAGCAUCCAACACUGAAGCAUGAAACCUCAGUCUGCUGUCUUAAUCCUUGAAACAGAUAUGAAAUAUCCGUACCAAUUUGGAAAUCAGUGUGCAGGAUAUAAGUGGGGAUUUUUUGGAGAUUUAUUAUUCCAUUCAAACUCUUGUUUAUUCUUCUUCCCUCUUAGUAGAACCACCUGCUUCUUUCUUGUUUCUAGGCUGACAGAAUGGCAUUGUUUAGAGACAGUCUGCUAAGAAAAUAGAA
Molecule: long non-coding RNA, 3135 nt
Organism: Caretta caretta (loggerhead turtle)
Lineage: Eukaryota; Metazoa; Chordata; Testudines; Cheloniidae
Source: RefSeq, a predicted model, not a curated record